AGUAGAUAAGGGCAUACGGCGGAUGCCUAGGCUUCUAGAGACGAAGAAGGACGUGAUAAGCUGCGAAAAGCUACGGGGAGGUGCACAUGACCAUUGAUCCGUAGAUAUCCGAAUGGGGCAACCCGGCAUGUUGAAGACAUGUCAUCCGAAAGGAGGUUAACCCGGGGAACUGAAACAUCUAAGUACCCGGAGGAAGAGAAAACAAUAGUGAUUCCCUCAGUAGUGGCGAGCGAACGGGGAAUAGCCCAAACCGAUUUUGUUUCGGCAAGGUCGGGGUUGUAGGACUGCGACGUAAGAUGCAUAAUUAAGCUGAACCUACUGGAAAGUAGGACCAUAGGGGGUGAUAGUCCCGUAAGCGUAGCGUUAUGUUAUUUUUAGCAGUAUCCUGAGUAGGGCGGGACACGUGAAAUCCUGUCUGAAUCUGCCAGAACCAUCUGGUAAGGCUAAAUACUCCUAGAAGACCGAUAGUGAACAAGUACCGUGAGGGAAAGGUGAAAAGCACCCUGAAUAAGGGAGUGAAAUAGUACCUGAAACCGUGUGCCUACAAGCGGUCGGAGCAUCCAUGAGAUGUGACGGCGUGCCUUUUGCAUAAUGAUCCUACGAGUUGCUCCUCACUGGCGAGGUUAAGAAUUUUAGGUUCGAAGCCGAAGCGAAAGCGAGUCUGAAUAGGGCGUGCAGUCAGUGGGGGCAGACGCGAAACCAAGUGAUCUACCCAUGGUCAGGUUGAAGCUCUGGUAACACAGAGUGGAGGACCGAACCCGUUGACGUUGAAAAGUCUUGGGAUGAACUGUGGGUAGGGGUGAAAGGCUAAUCAAACUUGGAAAUAGCUCGUACUCCCCGAAAUGCAUUUAGGUGCAGCCUCGGUAUUGAGUGUUAUAGAGGUAGAGCUACUGGUUGGAUGCGGGGGUUUCAUCGCCUACCAAAUCCUGUCAAACUCCGAAUGCUAUAACAUGCUUGCCGGGAGUGAGGGCAUGGGUGCUAAGGUCCAUGUCCGAGAGGGAAAGAACCCAGACCAUCUGCUAAGGUCCCCAAAUGUAUGCUAAGUUGAUCAAACGUGGUCAGACUGCAUUGACAGCUAGGAUGUUGGCUUGGAAGCAGCCAUUCAUUUAAAGAGUGCGUAACAGCUCACUAGUCGAGCGGUCCGGCGUGGAUAAUAAUCGGGCAUAAGCAUACUACCGAAGCAAUGGAUUGUAUUUAUACAGUGGUAGGGGAGCAUUCUAUUUGCGCCGAAGGUGUGCUGCGAGGCAUGCUGGAGCGGAUAGAAAAGAAAAUGUAGGAAUGAGUAACGAUAAUGCGGGUGAGAACCCCGCACGCCGAUAGACUAAGGUUUCCUCAGCAAUGCUAAUCAGCUGAGGGUUAGUCGGGACCUAACGCGAACCCGAAGGGGGUAGUGGAUGGACAACUGGUUAAUAUUCCAGUACUUGUAUAUACUGCGAUGGGGUGACGAAGCUGUGACAAUCCCGCGAUCUGACGGAAUAGAUCGUUAAAGCGUGUAGAUAUUGACGAUGUAGGCAAAUCCGCAUUGUUAGUCGAACGUGAUAGUACUCCAAGUCUUCGGAUGCGGAGAUAGUGGAUGUAAUCGUACUUCCGAGAAAAACCUCUAAGCUUCAGGUAUAUACAACCCGUACCGUAAACCGACACAGGUAGUCAAGGAGAGAAUCCUAAGGCGCUCGAGUGAAUCGUGGCUAAGGAACUAGGCAAAAUCGCCUCGUAACUUCGGGAGAAGAGGCGCCCCACUCCGGUGGGGCCGCAGUGAAUAGGCCCAGGCGACUGUUUAUCAAAAACACAGGACUCUGCGAAAUCGAAAGAUGAAGUAUAGGGUCUGACACCUGCCCGGUGCUGGAAGGUUAAGAGGAGAUGUUAUCUUCGGAGAAGCAUUGAAUUGAAGCCCCAGUAAACGGCGGCCGUAACUAUAACGGUCCUAAGGUAGCGAAAUUCCUUGUCGGGUAAGUUCCGACCUGCACGAAUGGUGUAACGAUCUGGGCACUGUCUCGGCCACGAGCUCGGUGAAAUUGUAGUAUCGGUGAAGAUGCCGAUUACCCGCAGCGGGACGAAAAGACCCCGUGAACCUUCACUACAGCUUAGUAUUGACUUCGGACAAGUAAUGUGUAGGAUAGGUGGGAGACUAUGAAGCGGCGUCGCUAGGCGUUGUGGAGUCGACGUUGAAAUACCACCCUUUACUUGUUUGGAGCCUAACCCCUCACGGGGGACAGUGCUUGGCGGGUAGUUUGACUGGGGUGGUCGCCUCCAAAAGAGUAACGGAGGCUUCUAAAGGUACCCUCAGCACGCUUGGUAACCGUGCGUAGAGUGCAAUGGCAUAAGGGUGCUUGACUGUGAGACCUACAAGUCGAUCAGGUACGAAAGUAGAGCAUAGUGAUCCGGUGGUUCCGCAUGGAAGGGCCAUCGCUCAAAGGAUAAAAGGUACUCCGGGGAUAACAGGCUGAUCUCCCCCAAGAGCUCACAUCGACGGGGGGGUUUGGCACCUCGAUGUCGGCUCGUCACAUCCUGGGGCUGGAGAAGGUCCCAAGGGUUGGGCUGUUCGCCCAUUAAAGUGGCACGCGAGCUGGGUUCAGAACGUCGCGAGACAGUUCGGUCUCUAUCUGCUGUGGGCGUAAGAAAUUUGAGGGAAUCUGACUUUAGUACGAGAGGACCGAGUUGGACGUACCGCUAGUGUACCUGUUGUGGCGCCAGCUGCACCGCAGGGUAGCUAUGUACGGAAGGGAUAAGCGCUGAAAGCAUAUAAGCGCGAAGCCCAUCCCGAGAUGAGAUUUCUCUUAAGGGUCGUUAUAGACGAUGACGUUGAUAGGCUACAGGUGUAAAGGCAGUAAUGUCAUAGCCGAGUAGUACUAAUUACCCGUGAGCUUUUUUC
RNAcentral lists this ribosomal RNA (2869 nucleotides) under Phaeocystidibacter marisrubri. Its description in RNAcentral is "23S ribosomal RNA". It matches the Rfam family "Bacterial large subunit ribosomal RNA". The record is from RNAcentral. Lineage: Bacteria; Pseudomonadati; Bacteroidota; Flavobacteriia; Flavobacteriales; Phaeocystidibacteraceae.